GGUUAAAACUCAAAUGAAUUGACGGGGGCCCGCACAAGCGGUGGAGCAUGUGGUUUAAUUCGAUGCAACGCGAAGAACCUUACCUACUCUUGACAUCCACGGAACUUGCCAGAGAUGGCUUGGUGCCUUCGGGAACCGUGAGACAGGUGCUGCAUGGCUGUCGUCAGCUCGUGUUGUGAAAUGUUGGGUUAAGUCCCGCAACGAGCGCAACCCUUAUCCUUUGUUGCCAGCGGUCCG
This 237-nucleotide ribosomal RNA is filed under the name Citrobacter freundii. RNAcentral's name for it is "partial 16S ribosomal RNA". It matches the Rfam family "Bacterial small subunit ribosomal RNA", at positions 892 to 1133 of the family's 1533-position model. Lineage: Bacteria; Pseudomonadati; Pseudomonadota; Gammaproteobacteria; Enterobacterales; Enterobacteriaceae. The record is from RNAcentral.